CCCUACGGGACGCAGCAGUGGGGAAUAUUGCACAAUGGGCGAAAGCCUGAUGCAGCAACGCCGCGUGAAGGAAGACGGUUUUCGGAUUGUAAACUUCUAUCAAUAGGGAAGAAAGAAAUGACGGUACCUGAAGAAGAAGCCCCGGCUAACUACGUGCCAGCAGCCGCGGUAAUACGUAGGGGGCAAGCGUUAUCCGGAUUUACUGGGUGUAAAGGGGGCGCAGACGGCGAUGCAAGCCAGGAGUGAAAGCCCGGGGCCCAACCCCGGGACUGCUCUUGGAACUGCGUGGCUGGAGUGCAGGAGGG
This 305-nucleotide ribosomal RNA is filed under the name uncultured bacterium. Its description in RNAcentral is "bacterial SSU rRNA". It matches the Rfam family "Bacterial small subunit ribosomal RNA", at positions 337 to 656 of the family's 1533-position model. The record is from RNAcentral.